AUGAACGCUGGCGGCGUGCUUUACACAUGCAAGUCGAGCGAGGCGUCCCGCAAGGGACAGUCGAGCGGCGAACGGGUGAGUAACGCGUGGAUGACCUGCCCUGAGGUGGGAAUAACCCGGGAACUCGGGCUAUACCGCAUAUGACCGUGAGGUCAAAGAGGGGUCGGCAAGAUCUCUUGCCACAGGAGGGGUCCGCGUUCGAUUAGCUAGUUGGUAGGGUAAUGGCCUACCAAGGCGACGAUCGAUAGCCGGCCUGAGAGGGUGAUCGGCCACACUGGAACUGAGACACGGUCCAGGACUCCUACGGGAGGCGAGCAGGUGGGGAAUUUUGCGCAAUGGGCUAACGCCUGACGCAGCAACGCCGCGUGGAGGAUGAAGGUCUUUGGAUUUGUAAACUCCUGUCAGG
RNAcentral lists this ribosomal RNA (406 nucleotides) under uncultured bacterium. Its description in RNAcentral is "bacterial SSU rRNA". It matches the Rfam family "Bacterial small subunit ribosomal RNA", at positions 29 to 440 of the family's 1533-position model. The record is from RNAcentral.